Molecule: ribosomal RNA, 253 nt
Filed under: bacterium
Lineage: Bacteria
Also listed under: 1 other name
Description: partial 16S ribosomal RNA
Rfam family: Bacterial small subunit ribosomal RNA
Source: RNAcentral
UACGAAGGGAGCUAGCGUUGUUCGGAAUAACUGGGCGUAAAGGGCGUGUAGGUGGAUAAGUACGUUAGAUGUGAAAGCCCCGGGCUCAACCUGGGAAUGGCAUUUAAUACGGCUCAUCUAGAGUGCGAGAGGGGAAAGCGGAAUGGCGAGUGGAGCAGUGAAAUGCAUUGAGAUUCGCUAGAACACCAGAGGCGAAGGCGGCUUUCUGGCUCGUUACUGACACUAAGACGCGAAAGCGUGGGGAGCAAACAGG